GAUGAACGCUAGCGGGAGGCCUAACACAUGCAAGCCGAGCGGGAUUUGUUGGUUAGCUUGCUAACUAACAAUGAGAGCGGCGUACGGGUGCGUAGCACGUGUGCAACCUGCCUUUAUCUGGGGGAUAGCCUUUCGAAAGGAAGAUUAAUACCCCAUAACAUAUUGAUUGGCAUCAGUUAAUAUUGAAAGCUCCGGCGGAUAGAGAUGGGCACGCGUAAGAUUAGCUAGUUGGUGAGGUAACGGCUCACCAAGGCUGCGAUCUUUAGGGGGCCUGAGAGGGUGAUCCCCCACACUGGUACUGAGACACGGACCAGACUCCUACGGGAGGCAGCAGUGAGGAAUAUUGGACAAUGGGUGAGAGCCUGAUCCAGCCAUCCCGCGUGAAGGACUAAGGACCUAUGGUUUGUAAACUUCUUCUAUACAGGGAUAAACCUACUCUCGUGAGGGUAGCUGAAGGUACUGUAUGAAUAAGCACCGGCUAACUCCGUG
This 489-nucleotide ribosomal RNA is filed under the name uncultured bacterium. Its description in RNAcentral is "partial 16S ribosomal RNA". It matches the Rfam family "Bacterial small subunit ribosomal RNA", at positions 28 to 507 of the family's 1533-position model. The record is from RNAcentral.